This is a long non-coding RNA of Numida meleagris (helmeted guineafowl), 1749 nucleotides long. RefSeq lists it as uncharacterized. NCBI's taxonomy places the organism in Eukaryota, Metazoa, Chordata, Aves, Galliformes, Numididae. The transcript is spliced from 3 exons. The record is from RefSeq and is a predicted model, not a curated record.
CUCUGCCACCCUCUUGAAAGUCAUUUAAUGUGAAGAAGAUAUCACAGAUUCCAUGUCAAGUAACCCAGUUCACUGGUCUGGCAAAAGACAGCUACAUAGCCAUGCAGUUGUUCUCUCUGUGAAACUACAGAUCUGCACACGUUGAGCACUGGUUCAGGGCCACUCUGUCUCACAGCAGUUGGUCCUUACAAUAUGCAAGCUGCCACAGGAACUUGUAAUUCAAAUCCAUAACGUUCUCAAAUAGUCAAUGGCAGAAAAUAUCAUGAUAAAAAAUCAAAGGCUCAGAUCAUUAUGUCUGCCAUACUUCAUCCAUGAGUUGUCUCCUAACUUCGCUGCAAGAGCACUGAUGUUGCAGGUGACUAUGUCCCCAGACAGCUGUGUGGGGGCCUAGCCAUACAGUUGCACCAGGCAAAGCAGACCUUCAAAGGCCAUCAGACGUGUUUCAUCUUAAAUGUACCAGACACAGCCAAAAUAUCCAGUUGGUUAUGGCAGCAAACUGGAAGGAAGGAAGAGAGAAAGGUUGAUACAAACACUACGGCCAUGGCCCUGCCUAGCUGCUCCCACUGCUGCCAGCCACCAGGCCCUUCUCAAACUAUGAAUGUGGAUGAGAAUUAGUGGUGACAGAUUUAUUGAUAAGGAUCAAGUUGACACUGGUCAGGAGCUUCAGGAACUCGGACCACCACUCAGCAAUUACUUCUGCACAUCCAAUCUCCAGAUCAAUCCAAUUUACUCCCACCCGCUCCCAAAUCAGUCCUUCUGUCAUCCUCUUGCAGCUCCCCCCUAUCCAGACACCUGCUGUUCCUCCUCUUUGCAGGGAAGGGAGGCUGCAGGUACCGUCAAGAUGCUUUCCCUGGCUCUGAAUGGCGGAGGUGACAGAAAUACAAACGACUCUUCAUUCUCUGAGCAUUCCAGCAUGAGUUUUCAAAAAUGAAAGUUUUUCAAAAUUUUCUGUCAUUCUGAUAGUUCUUUAUCCUGAAGCAGAACAGGACUGUUUCUUAGGAUAGAUGUAAAUUUUUCCUGAUGGAGCAAAGAGGCUACAGCCUCACUACAACUCUCAGGUCAAGAGCACUUUUGAAAGUCUUGAACUAUUGGGAUUCUCCUACAUAUCUAGUUUGCCCUGGGGUAUUUAACAGUUUCAGACACCUUGUAAGAGAGAUUAGAAAAUGGGACGGAAACCUUGACAAAUACACUGGAAUAGUUUUUGAAGAUCAUAGCCAGAGAAGGAGAUCUAGAAGUCUCACUAUCCCCAGCCCUCCAACUAAAUGUGUUCUUAUCAGAUGCUUUGGUAUUGUUACCUAUUUGCAUUAUUAAGCCAACGGACCCUUCUGUUUGGUGUUCUGGAAGGUGCUCUUCCAGUCUUGGGAGACUGCAGCCUAAAGACAAGUGAACCUUGGGUGAGAACUGUAUUUGAUGACAAGCAGAACGCUCCUGGGGGUGACACCCUGCUCAGGGUGUUGAUAUUUCUGGGUAUUUCCCACAUUUCCACGACAGCUGACAGAAAAUCAUUUUCAAUACCCUUUAGGUUGGAUCCCACUAAUUUACAAAUCAGAUAAAGGGAUAAUGGUAACAAAGGUUCCUCGUACCUCCUGGGUGGUUAGAAACAGAUUAACAAUGUUCAGGGUGUGUACCUACUGCUUGGAGAACUGCAUUGAAUUAAGAGGUGUCCCGUGGACAUAGAAUUUUCUCUGUGAAGAAAAUAAGAAAUCAGGCUCUAUGAUAAUUCUUCAAUUUCUAUGCUAAAUUUUUGGA